RNAcentral lists this long non-coding RNA (612 nucleotides) under Oryzias javanicus (javanese ricefish). Its description in RNAcentral is "lncRNA (ENSOJAG00000007554.1)". Lineage: Eukaryota; Metazoa; Chordata; Actinopteri; Beloniformes; Adrianichthyidae. The record is from RNAcentral.
CAGACACACUCGGUCUCCAUCCGUUCGUUUCUGAACUUGGCGUUUGGAUUAGAACAGAACCGAACUGGGAUCAGAACCGGACCUCCAACCCGGACCGGACCGGACUCGUUCAGUGAGUAGGACCGUUUCAGCCUCGAUCAGGAGAACAGCUGGAGUCACUCAAUGAUCUCCUCCAUCAACCUUCAAACUGUCAGGAAAUAUUCAUGGAGAUGAAGAAAUGUCCCGGAUCUUGAUCCAGAUCCAGUUGAAAACUUGUUGGUCCUAGCCUCCCACCUCCUCCUCUGUGAGGAAUCUGGGGUCCAUGGCUGCGUCCCGGGCCCCCGGCAGUCUGCGGGACCUGCAGCUGGCUCUGCGGCUGAAGGUGGAGGAGCUCCGUCAGAGAGACGCGCUGGAGCUGGACUCCAAGGACGACCUGAUCCGGCAGCUGCAGGUGGAGCUGGACAGGUACCGAGGCGCGGCGCGGCGCGCGGGAAAGGACUCAGAGACUCAUCUCACAAAGAGACGCGCCUACUCUGCUGAGGCCACGCCCAUGGACCCCGCCCAGCUGGCCACCGUCAGGAUCACCAGCUAUAGAAAGAGCAAAGAGUUGUUUCCCAGGUGGAGCUACAACAG